UGAUCCAACAAGGUUGGAAGAGUUUGAAGUGAGUUUAAAGGGGUUAGGAAGGUUUUAGCAUUGUUAAUUGCGAAGUAGAAUCGAAACGACGCAGAAAUCUGAAGUCUGGAACUUGUGCCGGUACAACAUCAGAGUUGUAUCGGUACAUUGUGGCAAACCGAGGGGAAGAGCUCUCGGGUUUGAGAGAAAACUGAUUUUGUGCCGGUACAAAUGGGUGUACCGGUACAAAUGUUGCGUGCUCGAGAGAAGCUG
This 252-nucleotide long non-coding RNA is filed under the name Ananas comosus (pineapple). Its description in RNAcentral is "long non-coding RNA (ACOM_LNC003643)". Lineage: Eukaryota; Viridiplantae; Streptophyta; Magnoliopsida; Poales; Bromeliaceae. The record is from RNAcentral.